RNAcentral lists this unclassified non-coding RNA (37 nucleotides) under 'Allium porrum' stunting phytoplasma LeSt-Br01. RNAcentral's name for it is "partial 16S-23S ribosomal RNA intergenic spacer". The record is from RNAcentral. Lineage: Bacteria; Bacillati; Mycoplasmatota; Mollicutes; Acholeplasmatales; Acholeplasmataceae.
CUAGGGAAAAAGUCAUCAUCUUCAGUUUUGACAGACC